This 82-nucleotide transfer RNA is filed under the name Ipomoea nil (Japanese morning glory). It matches the Rfam family "tRNA". From Rfam's summary of the family: Transfer RNA (tRNA) molecules are approximately 80 nucleotides in length. Lineage: Eukaryota; Viridiplantae; Streptophyta; Magnoliopsida; Solanales; Convolvulaceae. The record is from Rfam by way of RNAcentral.
GUCAAUAUGUCCGAGUGGUUAAGGAGAUAGACUUGAAAUCUAUUGGGCUUUGCCUGCAUAGGUUUGAAUCCUGCUGUUGCCG